UACCAGGUCUUGACAUCCAGUGCAAACCUAAGAGAUUAGGUGUUCCCUUCGGGGACGCUGAGACAGGUGGUGCAUGGCUGUCGUCAGCUCGUGUCGUGAGAUGUUGGGUUAAGUCCCGCAACGAGCGCAACCCUUGUCAUUAGUUGCCAUCAUUAAGUUGGGCACUCUAAUGAGACUGCCGGUGACAAACCGGAGGAAGGUGGGGAUGACGUCAAGUCAUCAUGCCCCUUAUGACCUGGGCUACACACGUGCUACAAUGGACGGUACAACGAGAAGCGAACCUGCGAAGGCAAGCGGAUCUCUUAAAGCCGUUCUCAGUUCGGACUGUAGGCUGCAACUCGCCUACACGAAGCUGGAAUCGCUAGUAAUCGCGGAUCAGCACGCCGCGGUGAAUACGUUCCCGGGCCUUGUACACACCGCCCGUCACACCAUGAGAGUCUGUAACACCCAAAGCCGGUGGGAUAACCUUUAUAGGAGUCAGCCGUCUAAGGUAGGACAGAUGAUUAGGGUGAAGUCGUAACAAGGUAGCCGU
Molecule: ribosomal RNA, 532 nt
Filed under: uncultured bacterium
Lineage: Bacteria
Description: bacterial SSU rRNA
Rfam family: Bacterial small subunit ribosomal RNA
Source: RNAcentral